CAGCAGCCGCGGUAAUACGUAGGGUGCGAGCGUUAAUCGGAAUUACUGGGCGUAAAGCGUGCGCAGGCGGUUCGUUAAGACAGAUGUGAAAUCCCCGGGCUUAACCUGGGAACUGCAUUUGUGACUGGCGAGCUAGAGUAUGGCAGAGGGGGGUAGAAUUCCACGUGUAGCAGUGAAAUGCGUAGAGAUGUGGAGGAAUACCGAUGGCGAAGGCAGCCCCCUGGGAUAACACUGACGCUCAUGCACGAAAGCGUGGGGAGCAAACAGGAUUAGAUACCCGUGUAGUCCCUGUCUCUUAUAC
RNAcentral lists this ribosomal RNA (301 nucleotides) under uncultured bacterium. Its description in RNAcentral is "partial 16S ribosomal RNA". It matches the Rfam family "Bacterial small subunit ribosomal RNA", at positions 509 to 807 of the family's 1533-position model. The record is from RNAcentral.